RNAcentral lists this long non-coding RNA (1025 nucleotides) under Salmo salar (Atlantic salmon). RNAcentral describes it as "lncRNA (ENSSSAG00000095190.1)". The record is from RNAcentral. Lineage: Eukaryota; Metazoa; Chordata; Actinopteri; Salmoniformes; Salmonidae.
GUAUAGUUAUAAAGCAUGUGUAACAACCUGGUGUAUAGUUAUAAAACAUGUCUAAUAAUAUGGUCUAGUUAUUGUAGCAGAUGUUAUUAAGGUGUACAUGCUGUUGGAGCGGAGUUUAAUUUAGCAUGUGUAAUUGCCCGGUGUAUACAGAGACAAUACAUGUGUAAUUGCCCGGUGUAUACAGAGACAAUACAUGUGUAAUUGCCCGGUGUAUACAGAGACAAUACAUGUGUAAUUGCCCGGUGUAUAUAGAGACAAUACAUGUGUAAUUACCCGGUGUAUAUAGAGACAAUACAUGUGUAAUUACCCGUUAUAUAGGGUGACAAUACAUGUGUAACUACCUGCUAUAUAUAGAGACAAUACAUGUGUAAUUACCCGGUGUAUAUAUAGAGACAAUACAUGUGUAAUUACCUGCUGUAUAUAGAGACAGUACAUGUGUAUAAGUGUAAAAUGAUUGUAUAGUGAUUGUAGCUGAGGAUAUGGAUGUGUCAUAAGGUAGUGUACAGGUCAUAUGAUACAUCAUCAGGCAGUGUACAGGAUAUAUGAUGCGUCAUAAGGCAGUGUACAGGUCAUAUGAUGCAUCAUCACGCAGUGUACAGGUCAUAUGACGCGUCAUAAGGUAGUGUACAGGUCAUAUGACGCGUCAUAAGGUAGUGUAUAGGUUAUAUGACACAUCAUAAGGUAGUGUAUAGGUUAUAUGACGCGUCAUAAGGUAGUGUAUAGGUUAUGUGAUGCGUCAUAAGGUAGUGUAUAGGUUAUAUGAUGCAUGAUAAGGUAGUGUAUAGGUUAUAUGAUGCGUCAUAAGGUAGUGUAUAAUGUCUCUAUCGUAGCUGGUCUCACCGCUGAUAACCGGGCGGAUCUCCUCUGGGGCUGCAACAGGAAGAGGAAGAGAAAACAUAUCACCACAGAAAAACACACGCUGUCAGAGAUCAACUAUGAUGAAACUGAGCUGACAAUACGAGUUCAUUUAUUGAAUAGUAAUUAUAGGGGAUGAGUUGUAGUCGAGGAUCUCGGUCUCACCUCCU